RNAcentral lists this ribosomal RNA (305 nucleotides) under uncultured bacterium. RNAcentral describes it as "partial 16S ribosomal RNA". It matches the Rfam family "Archaeal small subunit ribosomal RNA", at positions 455 to 759 of the family's 1478-position model. The record is from RNAcentral.
ACAGCAGUCGCCACGGUAACACCAGCAGCCCAAGUGGUGGUCGCGUUUAUUGGGCCUAAAGCGCUCGUAGCCUGACCGGUAAGUUCCCCGUGAAAUCGGGUCGCCCAACGAUUCGGCUUGCGGGGAAUACUGUCGGUCUUGGGGCCGGGAGACGCCGAGGGUACUCCGGGGGUAGCGGUGAAAUGCUGUAAUCCUCGGGGGACUACCAGUGGCGAAGGCGCUCGGCGAUAACGGGCCUGACGGUGAGGGGCGAAAGCUGGGGGCGCGAACGGGAUUAGAUACCCGCGUAGUCCCUGUCUCUUAUA